UACGUAGGGUGCGAGCGUUACUCGGAAUUACUGGGCGUAAAGCGUGCGUAGGCGGUCGGCAAAGUCAGCUGUGAAAGCCCCGGGCUUAACCUGGGAAUGGCGGUUGAAACUAGUCGACUCGAAUCUGGCAGAGGGGGGUGGAAUUCCACGUGUAGCAGUGAAAUGCGUAGAGAUGUGGAGGAACACCGAUGGCGAAGGCAGCCCCCUGGGCUGAGAUUGACGCUCAGGCACGAAAGCGUGGGGAGCAAACAGG
RNAcentral lists this ribosomal RNA (253 nucleotides) under uncultured bacterium. RNAcentral describes it as "partial 16S ribosomal RNA". It matches the Rfam family "Bacterial small subunit ribosomal RNA", at positions 524 to 776 of the family's 1533-position model. The record is from RNAcentral.